Molecule: ribosomal RNA, 253 nt
Filed under: uncultured bacterium
Lineage: Bacteria
Description: partial 16S ribosomal RNA
Rfam family: Bacterial small subunit ribosomal RNA
Source: RNAcentral
UACGGAGGAUGCAAGCGUUAUCCGGAAUUAUUGGGCGUAAAGCGUCCGCAGGUGGCUCAUCAAGUCUGCUGUCAAAGGCAGGGGCUUAACCCCUGAAAGGCAGUGGAAACUGGGGAGCUAGAGUGCAGUAGGGGUAGAGGGAAUUCCCGGUGUAGCGGUGAAAUGCGUAGAGAUCGGGAAGAACAUCGGUGGCGAAAGCGCUCUGCUGGACUGCAACUGACACUAAAGGACGAAAGCUAGGGGGGCGAAUGGG